Molecule: transfer RNA, 85 nt
Filed under: Felis catus (domestic cat)
Lineage: Eukaryota; Metazoa; Chordata; Mammalia; Carnivora; Felidae
Rfam family: tRNA
About the family: Transfer RNA (tRNA) molecules are approximately 80 nucleotides in length. Their secondary structure includes four short double-helical elements and three loops (D, anti-codon, and T loops).
Source: Rfam by way of RNAcentral
GCCUGGGUGGCUCAGUUGGUUAAGCAUCUGACUUUAGCUCAGAUCAUGAUCUCGUGGUUUGUGAGUUCGAGCCCCGUGUCAGGCU